Molecule: long non-coding RNA, 1455 nt
Organism: Bubalus bubalis (water buffalo)
Lineage: Eukaryota; Metazoa; Chordata; Mammalia; Artiodactyla; Bovidae
Exons: 2
Source: RefSeq, a predicted model, not a curated record
AGAAACGUGAUGCGUCGCUUUUACCCUGACAGUUGUGUCAUUGUCACCAAGUCCACCCCGUGGGUCUGGCUCACGGCCGGAGCAGGGGCAGAGGUACAACCUCUUGUUAGCCAACUUCCCACAGAGCUGAAGGGUUUGAAGAUUCUGCCCAGGGUGGCCAGCUUGCUAUUCCUCCUCACGGGGGGAGUUCGAAUCCCUGAGACCAGAUAUUCGGAGCGCACUGGGGGGGUUUGGUCCAUUUCAUCUGGAAGGAGAAAACCCAGAGAGGGGUCAGUGGUGACCAAGCUCACACAACACCCUGGGGGGCCUGAGGUGACGCCCCUCCCCUGGGGACCACAGUGAUCUUCCAAAGCCUGGAGCUCAAGAGGGCGGUCCAGGCAAUGGACACACUCUCAUCUUCCAUCGCGUGCCAGCCCGUGUUCAAGUGCACACCGAGCAGGUUAAUUCACCUCUCACCUCCUGUGAGAAGGAGCUGGGAGCCUGACUGAGUUCUUCCAGAACCAAGAAACCCCAGAGAGACCUGAAGAUGCAAGAAGAGCAGGGCUGGAAUGAGCAAGUACCAAGCCAGAGGAUGUCACCAGCAGUCAGAGGCGCCAGGGCCUGGGGCGGGCUGGUCAUCACCAGACCCAGCCUGAUGCCCCAUGUGACUGGUCCCCUGGCCAGCAGCCUCCAGAGAAACCCCCAAGGUUUGACUUCCCAAGCACUUUUCUUAUCAGCAGCCCAAGCCACUCAGCCCCCUGAGCCUCAAUGUCCACAUCUGGAAAACAAUGGCCAUCCCCCAUACCUAGGGUGGAGAGGAAAUUUUUGUGUGACCAUAGGGUGGCCAUGAAGUCUGAAGUCAUACAGAACCAUACGAAAUACACAGUUUAUUGAUAGCAUGUUACCAUCCAUGUAAAGUACUAUUAUUUAUGUUUUGAAACUGUAGACACUCUGAUUAACACGGCACACCAGCAUGGGGGACUUCCGGCAGAAAUUUUCAUGUAAUAAUUUAUAUAAGCAAUAUAAUAAUUCUUAUGGAGUGAAAGUCAUUGCUUGUUCAGGACUGGGUGCUAUGGUAUUUUAUUCCCAUAGUAAAACUAUGAAGUGGAAACUGUUAUUACAUCCAUUUUACAGAUGGGCACACUGAGGCUGUCAGAGCAACAGAAUUCUGGUCUCUGGCAGUCUGACUCCAGAAACCUCUCUCAUAUCGCUAAACUGCUUCUAGGGUGAUGAUACAAAUUUAUUGCCCAGAGAAGGAACCAAAUGGAUGGAUGGAUGGAACACAACAAGAGACAUAAACUAAGAUGGUCCCCGUACCCUCCCCCCUCAACCACCGCCAAGGGGGAUUUGGAAUUUUAGUUCCCUGACCAGGGAUAGAACCCAUGCCCCCUGCAUGGGGAUCUUAACCACUGGACCACCAGGGAAGUCCCUCUCCAGUGGUUUUUAAUUGAAUGUUAAAUAUAUAUCAGGGACUGG